AUGUUUGAGCAAUUUGGCAGUGCUCUUUACAAGGCAGGGGCUUAUGAACUAGAUGUUGCUGUACCAAAAAAGGUAUACAUUCUUACUCAUGUGGAUGCUCUCUCUCGUGAGAAAUGGAGCAAGGUCCAGUUCAAGGUUGAUGUUGAUGUUGAUCGGACCUUUUUCAACUGCGAGUGUGGUAUUUUCGAGCAUUCUGGAAUGGUCUGCUGCCAUGCACUGAAGGUUAUGAUCGAGCUCAAGUUGAGCAAGAUACCAGAAAAGCACAUAUUGAAGCGAUGGACUAGGGAUGCCCGUGAUAUCUUGCCUGAUCAUCUCGUUCGGUACCAGAAGGACAGAGGGCCACAUGGCUUUGACACUUACAGGCACAACACCAUGUACAUGAAGGCAAUGGAGUGUGUUCGACUCGGUGAUAGUAACGUGAAGUGCUAUGAUGUUUUCAUGGCAAUGAUG
This 450-nucleotide ribosomal RNA is filed under the name Triticum aestivum (bread wheat). Its description in RNAcentral is "partial small subunit ribosomal RNA". Lineage: Eukaryota; Viridiplantae; Streptophyta; Magnoliopsida; Poales; Poaceae. The record is from RNAcentral.